CCUGGGAACUGCGUUNUGAACUGGGUGACUAGAGUGUGUCAGAGGGAGGUAGAAUUCCACGUGUAGCAGUGAAAUGCGUAGAGAUGUGGAGGAAUACCGAUGGCGAAGGCAGCCUCCUGGGAUAACACUGACGUUCAUGCCCGAAAGCGUGGGUAGCAAACAGGAUUAGAUACCCUGGUAGUCCACGCCCUAAACGAUGUCGAUUAGCUGUUGGGCAGCAUGACUGCUUAGUAGCGAAGCUAACGCGUGGAAUCGACCGCCUGGGGAGUACGGUCGCAAGAUUAAAACUCAAAGGAAUUGACGGGGACCCGCACAAGCGGUGGAUGAUGUGGAUUAAUUCGAUGCAACGCGAAGAACCUUACCUGGUCUUGACAUGUGCGGAACCCUCCAGAGACGGAGGGGUGCCUUCGGGAGCCGUAACACAGGUGCUGCAUGGCUGUCGUCAGCUCGUGUCGUGAGAUGUUGGGUUAAGUCCCGCAACGAGCGCAACCCUUGUCAUUAGUUGCCAUCAUUAAGUUGGGCACUCUAAUGAGACUGCCGGUGACAAGCCGGAGGAAGGUGGGGAUGACGUCAAGUCCUCAUGGCCCUUAUGACCAGGGCUUCACACGUCAUACAAUGGUCGGUACAGAGGGUAGCCAAGCCGCGAGGUGGAGCCAAUCUCACAAAACCGAUCGUAGUCCGGAUUGCACUCUGCAACUCGAGUGCAUGAAGUCGGAAUCGCUAGUAAUCGCAGGUCAGCAUACUGCGGUGAAUACGUUCCCGGGUCUUGUACACACCGCCCGUCACACCAUGGGAGUGGGGGAUACCAGAAGUAGGU
RNAcentral lists this ribosomal RNA (817 nucleotides) under uncultured bacterium. RNAcentral describes it as "bacterial SSU rRNA". It matches the Rfam family "Bacterial small subunit ribosomal RNA", at positions 613 to 1431 of the family's 1533-position model. The record is from RNAcentral.